Molecule: ribosomal RNA, 497 nt
Filed under: uncultured bacterium
Lineage: Bacteria
Description: partial 16S ribosomal RNA
Rfam family: Bacterial small subunit ribosomal RNA
Source: RNAcentral
GAUGAACGCUGGCGGCGUGCCUAAUACAUGCAAGUCGAGCGAACAGAUGAGGAGCUUGCUCCUCUGACGUUAGCGGCGGACGGGUGAGUAACACGUGGAUAACCUACCUAUAAGACUGGGAUAACUUCGGGAAACCGGAGCUAAUACCGGAUAAUAUAUUGAACCGCAUGGUUCAAUAGUGAAAGACGGUUUUGCUGUCCCUUAUAGAUGGUUCCGCGCCGCAUUAGCUAGUUGGUAAGGUAACGGCUUACCAAGGCAACGAUGCGUAGCCGACCUGAGAGGGUGAUCGGCCACACUGGAACUGAGACACGGUCCAGACUCCUACGGGAGGCAGCAGUAGGGAAUCUUCCGCAAUGGGCGAAAGCCUGACGGAGCAACGCCGCGUGAGUGAUGAAGGUCUUCGGAUCGUAAAACUCUGUUAUUAGGGAAGAACAAAUGUGUAAGUAACUAUGCACGUCUUGACGGUACCUAAUCAGAAAGCCACGGCUAACUACGUG